GAAGGGGGCUAGCGUUGUUCGGAAUUACUGGGCGUAAAGCGCGUGUAGGCGGUUGCCAUAGUCAGGUGUGAAAGCCUUGAGCUUAACUCAAGAAAUGCACUUGAUACUGGGCGACUAGAGGACCGGAGAGGAUAGUGGAAUUCCCAGUGUAGUGGUGAAAUACGUAGAGAUUGGGAAGAACACCAGUGGCGAAGGCGGCUAUCUGGACGGUUUCUGACGCUAAGACGCGAAAGCGUGGGGAGCAAACAGGAUUAGAUACCCUGGUAGUCCACGCCGUAAACGAUGGGUGCUAGACGUUGGCGAGCUUGCUCGUCAGUGUCGCAGUUAACGCGUUAAGCACCCCGCCUGGGGAGUACGGCCGCAAGGUUG
RNAcentral lists this ribosomal RNA (369 nucleotides) under uncultured bacterium. RNAcentral's name for it is "bacterial SSU rRNA". It matches the Rfam family "Bacterial small subunit ribosomal RNA", at positions 527 to 896 of the family's 1533-position model. The record is from RNAcentral.